AUCCAGUGUGGUCCAGCAACCUUUCUAAU
This 29-nucleotide small RNA is filed under the name Bombyx mori (domestic silkworm). RNAcentral's name for it is "ovarian small RNA-12446". Lineage: Eukaryota; Metazoa; Arthropoda; Insecta; Lepidoptera; Bombycidae. The record is from RNAcentral.